GCUUUGUGUACAGUUGUUUGAACUUGAUUUCGUAUCCGCAGUUAAUUUAUGUAUGCCUCCUUUUGAUUUAUUCAAGUCGGUGGAUUCGUUCAUUUCUUAUAAAUAAUAACCAAUCAUGUUGCUAUAAAUCAAUCUUUUGCAUUUCUGUUUGAUCAAAACAUGGUUCUUGAAAUUUAUUUGCCGAAUUCCUCGUAACAUUUUUUUAGCUGAUUUUUGCUUUUCAUUUUAUGAGGUUGGUUGAUUAUGUUGUUAACAUAGUCUUUUCCAUUUCUUGAAUGCAUGCAUCAGCAUGGAGCUCUGAUUUUAUUAUAGGAUGCUUUUAUGAGGUGGUAUGAAUCUAAGUUUACUUCACAGUACUCUUUUUUCUUUCCUUUUUUUUUUAAAAAAAAAAUGCUUGCAGUGAUUCUCAUAAUUUAUAAAACUGUUUUUAAAUCUAGAGGCACGGAAUUGUUUGUUCAAGAUCAGCUAGACAUGUAAGAAGA
Molecule: long non-coding RNA, 482 nt
Organism: Populus euphratica (Euphrates poplar)
Lineage: Eukaryota; Viridiplantae; Streptophyta; Magnoliopsida; Malpighiales; Salicaceae
Exons: 2
Source: RefSeq, a predicted model, not a curated record